AUCCUUUUGUAGUUCAUAAGUGUGACGAUUGGGUUUUUUCACGCUCAUGUGUGAGAUAUGCCUUCUUUAAAUGUUCUUACACCAUCAGCACAUUAUCCAUCUGACA
Papio anubis (olive baboon) is the source of this 106-nucleotide non-coding RNA. NCBI's taxonomy places the organism in Eukaryota, Metazoa, Chordata, Mammalia, Primates, Cercopithecidae. The record is from Rfam.